Molecule: non-coding RNA, 79 nt
Organism: Mucidula mucida
Lineage: Eukaryota; Fungi; Basidiomycota; Agaricomycetes; Agaricales; Physalacriaceae
Source: the annotation of a GenBank genome assembly
GGCGCUAUAGUGUAGUGGCAGCACAUGGGAUUCUGAUAAAUGGCUUCCCAUAACCCAGGUUUGACCCCUGGUAGUGCCU